GAUGAACGCUGGCGGCGUGCCUAAUACAUGCAAGUCGAGCGAACAGACGAGGAGCUUGCUCCUCUGACGUUAGCGGCGGACGGGUGAGUAACACGUAGAUAACCUACCUAUAAGACUGGGAUAACUUCGGGAAACCGGAGCUAAUACCGGAUCAUAUAUUGAACCGCAUGGUUCAAUAGUGAAAGACGGUUUUGCUGUCACUUAUAGAUGGUUCCGCGCCGCAUUAGCUAGUUGGUAAGGUAACGGCUUACCAAGGCAACGAUGCGUAGCCGACCUGAGAGGGUGAUCGGCCACACUGGAACUGAGACACGGUCCAGACUCCUACGGGAGGCAGCAGUAGGGAAUCUUCCGCAAUGGGCGAAAGCCUGACGGAGCAACGCCGCGUGAGUGAUGAAGGUCUUCGGAUCGUAAAACUCUGUUAUUAGGGAAGAACAAAUGUGUAAGUAACUAUGCACGUCUUGACGGUACCUAAUCAGAAAGCCACGGCUAACUACGUG
Molecule: ribosomal RNA, 497 nt
Filed under: uncultured bacterium
Lineage: Bacteria
Description: partial 16S ribosomal RNA
Rfam family: Bacterial small subunit ribosomal RNA
Source: RNAcentral